CCUACGGGGGGCAGCAGUGGGGAAUAUUGCACAAUGGGGGAAACCCUGAUGCAGCGACGCCGCGUGAGUGAAGAAGUAAUUCGUUAUGUAAAGCUCUAUCAGCAGGGAAGAAAAUGACGGUACCUGAGUAAGAAGCCCCGGCUAACUACGUGCCAGCAGCCGCGGUAAUAAGUAGGGGGCAAGCGUUAUCCGGAUUUACUGGGUGUAAAGGGAGCGUAGACGGCAGUGCAAGUCUGGAGUGAAAGGCGGGGGCUCAACCCCCGGACUGCUCUGGAAACUGUACGGCUGGAGUGCAGGAGAGGUAAGCGGAAUUCCUAGUGUAGCGGUGAAAUGCGUAGAUAUUAGGAGGAACACCAGUGGCGAAGGCGGCUUACUGGACUGUAACUGACGUUGAGGCUCGAAAGCGUGGGGAGCAAACAGGAUUAGAUACCCUUGUAGUC
Molecule: ribosomal RNA, 440 nt
Filed under: uncultured bacterium
Lineage: Bacteria
Description: partial 16S ribosomal RNA
Rfam family: Bacterial small subunit ribosomal RNA
Source: RNAcentral